This 2555-nucleotide ribosomal RNA is filed under the name Triticum aestivum (bread wheat). RNAcentral describes it as "partial small subunit ribosomal RNA". Lineage: Eukaryota; Viridiplantae; Streptophyta; Magnoliopsida; Poales; Poaceae. The record is from RNAcentral.
GACGGGAGAGCUAGGGGAGCUGGAUGCUAGACACUGACGUCUGCGUGAUCUAGCGGCGGCGCCUGGAGCAUCCCUUCUGCGCUUGCUCUAGGGUUCGGCGACGAGGAGGAGAGGGCCCUACGUCGGCGGCGGCGGCUCAGUCCCUCUGCGGCCGCUGGCAGCGGCGGCAGCACCUAGUGGUCCUGCGGCGGCGGACGUGGCGGUGGUGGCGCGGAGCCUAUGCAGCGACGCUCCGGCUCCGCCUAGGGACCCUCGCCCUCCUCCAUCCCCAGUCGGCGCAGCUGUCGCCGCUCCACCUCGGGACCCCGACCCUCACCCGUACCCUCCUCCACCCCCCGUCGACGCUCGCGUUGCCCCACUCCCCGCAGCUACUCUACGAGGACCACGGAGGGAGGCUCACCCUCCCCCUCUCCCUGCAGUCGCCGCUCGGCCUACCCCGCUCCCCGCAGCUACUCUACGGGGGCCGCGAAGGGAGGCCCGCCCUCCUCCUCUCCCCGCAGCCGCCACUCCGCCCACAGCCGCCGCUCUACCAGAGACUGACCGCACUACUCCGCCCGUCGAAUCCGCACUUCGCACGCAAGCACCUCCAUAAGCGGUCCCGCGAGAAGAUAGGCUGCCACUACGAGUUGAUGCCGGCGUCAAACUAGCUCGGGCUCAAGGUGACCACCCUAGCGUAGCUGUUCCUAUAAACCUAUCCCCGUCAAGGAGUGGUUGGUUACAGUAUUAAAUAGUGCAGGCGUUUACUAAAAACCUGACAUCAAACCUAACAAGACGGCUCGCAUAUUGUUGCGUACGAUAGAUAGUUUCGAAGCUGAGUAAACAAAACGACGAGACCUUAUAACUCUGCUCUUCUUACCGGAACUACGACCUCCAAUUACCUAGUGGGACCCUUGCUAAAACUCCCGUAAUACGGUCGAUGAAACUACCGUUACCUAAUACCUUACCGUUUGAUUGUCCCGUGUAGCGUGUUGACCAUAUUUACACAACUAUACAACGUAAAGUUCCGUCAAAGUGAGUAUUUAUGAUGUGUCAAACUUGUUAAAUCGUAAACCCUGGUGCUCCUAAGGCUAACCCUCUUGCUGCAGCAGGUAUCUAAUUACAUACCCUUGUAGCUCGGUUGGGUGAAAUGUCCUGUCCUCCCAACUGGCGACCCGCUACGCGACGUGCUCAUCCGGUCCUCCUUGUUCUCAUCUUCUCCUGACAUCGGACAUCCACUCUCUUCUACUACGGUAACGGUAGAACUGACUUCCAACCCGUAGAUUUCUACGAACCGUUGGUCUUGAGACUUCGAUUUGUGGUGAACUUCCAUGGACCUUUAUGUAAUGAACGACUUCGACGUGUAGGAUGCGGGGUCCUCCUCCGGUUUACGUAUAAGGCUAGUACACUAGAUUUAUGAUUUCGAAGGAACGACCUAGAUUCGUAUGAAGGCAUCGUCGGCCUCGACUUGUAAAUCUCUCUGGUAUGACAUCGUUCGAACGAAAGGUCCCUGGACCACAAAGACGUUUGGGUUGCUAUCCGCACAAACUUUUUUUUUCGAUUUACCGCGCGGGCGACAUCGUUCACUCACGGGUAGCUUUAGUGGAACUCGUAUAAACGCGACUAAAAGUACUAACGAGAAGACGGUCGUUGUUACAAGGAGCGUGAAGCUGGUGUGUUGACAAGGCCUUCUACAGUACUUCUUAAAGAAAGUCUCUUAAACGCACUCGACUAGACAUCGUCACGCCUUCCACUCGAACCGACGGCCGUCGUCGAGGAAACCGACUAGACGCCGCUACGUCUUCAACCCAACCUUUUUUCGUGCUGGCCGACGAGACUUCACCCAGCAUCCCUCUCGAAGCAUUCUCUAUCCCUCCCUCGAGAUAACCGGGCACGUACUGUAGGUUGGGUUACCGUAGUACGGGACCAUCCGUACCAACGUACCGGUGCCCCUCUUACCUCGUUCAUCGCACACUCCUCAAAUUCUUUACCCCUGUUCCCUGUCAAAUCAAUUAAUUCAGAUACAAUCAAAAUUCAAAAUAGGAACAACGCCAUUUUUUAAUUCCAACCUAAUUGGUGGUACAUGUAGAAAUUAAUGAAAAUUUAUUCUUUAUAUUAGUUUUAUAAGAAAACUUUAGUAUUUUAAAUAUAUUAAACAUGUUCAUGUACUUCCACCUUGUCCUCCUUCCCACCCUCUUCUAAUCCGGGGCAAACCAUUGUUUCAUAAAAGAUACAUAAGGGUAUUAUGACGUCAAAAAAUAUUAUGACAUCAAAAAUAAUGUUUCCCAACAAACCGACAGAGAUUUUUAAAAUUAAAAUUAUGACGUCAAAAACCGUUUGGUGUCAUAAAAGAGACGUAUUUUUUUUCUUGGUGUAUGGAGAAAAAAAAAUUUGAUUCGAGCGACUCUUUUCUCUCAGGGAGCGAGUAUGGAAGAAGAGUUGUGCGGAGUACAGGUGCUGGCAAAAUAGUCCUAGAAGACGAACCACUAAAUCAAUCAAGCGAAGGCAAACAACGAGGUUUAAUGUCGGUUGGUGUUUUAGCAAAACUUCUGCAACAACGGCAGGCCUAUCGGUCAAUC